UUGAUUUUUGACCUGAAAUAACUCAUCAUCAUCUUUUUAUAGUCUAUUUCAAUCUAAAUAAGUGAUUUUCACAUAGAUCUAGGUUUUUUUCUUCGUGAUUUCGUCAUGAGUGUGGUGGUGUGUUGUUCGUCGUCUUGUGCGGCGUAGUUUGAUUUCCCGUCUUGUUGCGGUGUUUAUUUGAUUCAUAUUGAAAGAUUCGAUUAUUCAAUCAAAGAAUUGGGCGUCAACGUUGCAGAUCUGGAGCAUGGGUAUUGUUAUAUGCUAUUAAAUGGGGUGUUGUGAGUUUGUUCGCAAAUUCAUUCUUUAUUUUUUUAGCGGCGUUGAAUGGUGUACUCCAUCGAUUUUAAUGAAUAAAUAUCGUUUUGUUUUUGUAAAAAAAAAUCCGAGAAACAUUUGGAUCAAAACAAUGAAAAAAAUUAUAGGAUUUGAGAUAUUUAUUAUAUGAGCAAUGCUAUAUAUCAAGAAAGAUUUUAUCAAGAAAAUUUCAAGAAUGAAAUGGCAGAAUAAUCACCCUUAGAUUUUAUCAAGAAAUAAUCAUGAAAUUAAUGUUAAUCAAUAAAAUCUCAGUCUGGCCGGAAAUCAUGGAGUGGUGGGUGUUAUGUAUUUUUUUUUUAUGAAAGAUUAAUAAAUGAGACUGAAAUCUAAAGGUGAUUAUUGUGCUAUGUCAUUUUUGAAUCUUUCUUAUAAAAUCAUUCUUGAUAUCUAACAUUUUCCUUAUUAUAUUUAAAAGCUAGGACACAUUUUGACAAAGAAGAAUGUGCCCUAGAUAUUUUUUUUUUUUUGGGUAAAUCUUCUUUGGCACAUUUUCCUUAUUAUAUUUAAAAUCAUGGGAGUGAAUGAAUGAGUUGGGUGAGAGAGCGAGUCCGUAACAAUGGCGGCAGCAACAACAAAAAAAGAAGUGAGUUCAGAUUUACCAGAGGAGUUAUGGGAACACAUCUUCAAAUUCCUCAACGACAACAAAAGCCACUACUUCAAAUCUCUCUCGCUAGUCUCCAAACAUUUUCUCUCCAUCUCCAACUGUCUCCUACGUGACCUAAAAGUCUAUGAUCAUACCCUCCAUCACCUCUUCCAAAGGUUCCCUAACCUCACAUCCCUCGAUCUUAGCAUCGUCUCCAAAAGAGUUGACUUCUACACAAUUCUUACCCAAAUCUCCACUUUCCCUUUUACCGAAUGAAUCUUAUGUGCAGGACUAAAAUCUUCUUUAUUGUUGAUUGUUUCCCUUUACUCGAAGAACUCAACCUCACUUAUCCCGAUUCGGCUAUGGUCUUUGAUUUUGCGCGAGAUGAUGAUAUUGAUCGAUUGUUGGAACUUUCCAAACUCUACAAGAUUAUCAUUUCUCGUAUUAUUGCAUCUAUCGCGAAUCUAUUAACCAUAUCUACAAGAUUUCCAGAGAAGAAUAACUUAGAUGAUAAUGAUAGUUACUUAAAAUUGUAAACGUGUCAAUUAUUGCAGUAUUUUAAUUUCGAGUUUGUUUUUGUCUAUUUACAAAUUUUGGUGGUUCACUUGUUUAAACACUUAGCAUAAUGUAUUGUUAUGGACAUAAGAAUGAGAAUUUGGGCUUCAACCUAUGAAGCACGGAUACUCCUUGAAUUAGGCGUGUCCUGAUGUCGGACACGCGGCAUGGCACCGACACGUGUAAUUACACCGAAUUAUGUGAUUUUUUUCCUUCAAAUUAUUGGUGAU
This 1683-nucleotide long non-coding RNA is filed under the name Medicago truncatula (barrel medic). RNAcentral describes it as "long non-coding RNA (MTRU_LNC001405)". Lineage: Eukaryota; Viridiplantae; Streptophyta; Magnoliopsida; Fabales; Fabaceae. The record is from RNAcentral.